ACGACGCUGGCGGCACGCUUAACACAUGCAAGUCGAACGGAGUUUACGGAGCUUGCUCUGUAAACUUAGUGGCGGACGGGUGAGUAACACGUGAGCAACCUGCCUUCAAGAGCGGAAUAGCUUCUGGAAACGGAUGGUAAUACCGCAUAACAUUACCGGACCGCAUGAUCUGGUAAUCAAAGAUUUAUCGCUUGAAGAUGGGCUCGCGUCUGAUUAGAUAGUUGGUGGGGUAACGGCCUACCAAGUCGACGAUCAGUAGCCGGACUGAGAGGUUGAACGGCCACAUUGGGACUGAGACACGGCCCAGACUCCUACGGGAGGCAGCAGUGGGGAAUAUUGCACAAUGGGCGCAAGCCUGAUGCCAGCGAUGCCGCGUGGAGGAAGAAGGUUUUCGGAUUGUAAACUCCUUAUCUGAGGGACGAUAAUGACGGUACCUCAGGAGAAAGCUCCGGCUAACUACGUGCCAGCAGCAGC
RNAcentral lists this ribosomal RNA (474 nucleotides) under uncultured bacterium. Its description in RNAcentral is "bacterial SSU rRNA". It matches the Rfam family "Bacterial small subunit ribosomal RNA", at positions 32 to 518 of the family's 1533-position model. The record is from RNAcentral.